UUUGCCUACGGGACGCAGCAGUAGGGAAUCUUCCACAAUGGGCGAAAGCCUGAUGGAGCAACGCCGCGUGGGUGAAGAAGGUCUUCGGAUCGUAAAACCCUGUUGUUAGAGAAGAAAGUGCGUGAGAGUAACUGUUCACGUUUCGACGGUAUCUAACCAGAAAGCCACGGCUAACUACGUGCCAGCAGCCGCGGUAAUACGUAGGUGGCAAGCGUUGUCCGGAUUUACUGGGUGUAAAGGGCGUGCAGCCGGGAAGACAAGUCAGAUGUGAAAUCCCGCGGCUCAACCGCGGAACUGCAUUUGAA
Molecule: ribosomal RNA, 305 nt
Filed under: uncultured bacterium
Lineage: Bacteria
Description: bacterial SSU rRNA
Rfam family: Bacterial small subunit ribosomal RNA
Source: RNAcentral